AAAACACUAAGCAUGCACGCUGUUUAAGAGAAGAAAAAGCGCAGUCACCCAUUGGGCCACAUGAAAGACCCUCUGCUGUUUUAGGGGCACGUUUUCCAAUGUGCCUUGAGCCGGAGAGAGUGGUGGGUCCUUAUACAAAGAGACAAAAGGAAAGCUAUGAAUGCUGCUAUCUCCCAGAUUUAGAGCCACAGAAGAAAACCUCAUUUAUUUUGGUGGAUGUACAUCAUCAUCUGUUGCCUUCUCUGAGGAAGUUUCUCCUGGGAAUUUAAGUUUGAAAGAGAAACUGUAUCUGUUGGAGAAUGAGUUCCAGGAGGCUGAUGACCCGCUCCUACUCUGCGGGGGACGGGAGGUCCAGCUCCCACAAUGGAGAUGAUGUCAUAGCGAGUAGCAGAGCCAGCAGCCGCAGCUACCUCUCUGAUGUCAGGCCUGAAAACAGGUACACAACCCCUCAGCUCAACACAGGAAAUAUUACUGUACCUCAACAAGCAACAAGAAAGUUAGAAUAUGUUUAUUACCAGAUCCCUCUCCUUUUGAAGUGAAGUUUAACCAUUGAUUCGGCAUCAUUGCAUUAUGAGGUCGUAAUAAUAAAACAAUAAUCAUUGAAUUUAUAAUGCCUUUUUAAAUUAAAAUGAUUGGAUGGCUUGAUUGAAAUGAUUUCUCAGUGUGUUAGUUAGUUAUAGAUAGUUGUGUUAGUUAUAUUUACAUAACAUUUACAUUUGAGUCAUUUAGCAGACACACUCAUCCAGAGCCAGUUAUCAUGCAUUCAUCUUAAGGUAACUGGAUGAGUCAACCACAUAGUGGUUAGUUAGUUGGAGAUAGUAGUAUUAGUUAUAUUUACAUAACAUUUACAUUUGAGUCAUUUAGCAGACACACUCAUCCAGAGCCAGUUAUCAUGCAUUCAUCUUAAGGCAACUGGAUGAGUCAACCACAUAUCAAAGGCAUUGUUGGUUUCCAUGGUGUCGUUUACUGCAUUUAGGACUGUUUGAAUGGCCAGCUGAUAGGCAACACUCACUACCGGCUCAUAAAAAGCUAUGACCAUGAAGGUCAGCUCUCAGCUCUUUAUAAAUAAACUGCAUCUCACUGCAUGAGCCUGUGUAAAGGCAAACCGUCUUCCAAAAUGCAUCCUACAAAUAGAGGAAAAGUUCAUGAAAAUCCAAUCUUCCUACUACUGGGUAUGUCUACUUAUGGCCAAGUGUGUGCUGCAAAACUAUCAAGUCAAGUGAAAACAUGUAUUCUUCAUUAUAAUUAAAUAAAAUAUUAAUGGUACAGAUA
Molecule: long non-coding RNA, 1272 nt
Organism: Oncorhynchus tshawytscha (Chinook salmon)
Lineage: Eukaryota; Metazoa; Chordata; Actinopteri; Salmoniformes; Salmonidae
Exons: 3
Source: RefSeq, a predicted model, not a curated record